AUUGAACGCUGGCGGCAUGCUUUACACAUGCAAGUCGAACGGCAGCGGGGAGGAGCUUGCUUCUCUGCCGGCGAGUGGCGAACGGGUGAGUAAUACAUCGGAACGUGUCGAGAAGAGGGGGAUAACCACCCGAAAGGGUGGCUAAUACCGCAUAAAUUCUGAGGAAGAAAGCUGGGGACCUAGGAAUAGGCCUAGCGCUUUUUGAGCGGCCGAUGUCGGAUUAGCUAGUUGGUGAGGUAAAGGCUCACCAAGGCGAAGAUCUGAAGCGGGUCUGAGAGGAUGAUCCGCCACACUGGGACUGAGACACGGCCCAGACUCCUACGGGAGGCAGCAGUGGGGAAUUUUGGACAAUGGGGGCAACCCUGAUCCAGCCAUGCCGCGUGUAUGAAGAAGGCCUUAGGGUUGUAAAGUACUUUUGUUAGGGAAGAAAAGUCAGCUGUGAAUAAUGGCUGAUACUGACGGUACCUAAAGAAUAAGCACCGGCUAACUACGUG
RNAcentral lists this ribosomal RNA (494 nucleotides) under uncultured bacterium. RNAcentral's name for it is "partial 16S ribosomal RNA". It matches the Rfam family "Bacterial small subunit ribosomal RNA", at positions 30 to 507 of the family's 1533-position model. The record is from RNAcentral.